Molecule: long non-coding RNA, 416 nt
Organism: Cygnus olor (mute swan)
Lineage: Eukaryota; Metazoa; Chordata; Aves; Anseriformes; Anatidae
Exons: 3
Source: RefSeq, a predicted model, not a curated record
UCUUGCUACUUCAGUUCUGCAGUCAAAUAGUAAUGUCAUUUUCCUGAUAUUUCAGCUCCCAACCUGUUUGUCCUUUCCAAAUUCAUUUCUGUUUGGAUUGAGAGAGCUAUCAAUCAUACAGCUUAAUCAAUGUAUGCUGUUCUUUGCAGAUGUCAGUGCUAUCCAAACAGGCAUGACUAGGGAGUAGAUCAGUGGUGACCCACAUCUGGGGAGAAACAGCAAGGAUUGCCAGAGAACCACCUUUUGCUGAAAGAGAAGAAAAGGAAUACAUGUAAUACCUAAGAAAUGGAGAAAACAAAUGAACUUGUCUCCCUGGGAUUUUGGAAAACCAGUGCACCAUGUCUUGUGUUAGGCUGCAUUUCGGUCUUCGGACUGUGUUUCUGUGAUUCCUUCCAUCCAGUGUUGAUGAUGAUCAG